AACGAACGCUGGCGGCAUGCCUAACACAUGCAAGUCGAACGAAGCCUUCGGGCUUAGUGGCGCACGGGUGCGUAACGCGUGGGAAUCUGCCCUUUGGUUCGGAAUAACAGUUGGAAACGACUGCUAAUACCGGAUGACGACGAAAGUCCAAAGAUUUAUCGCCAGGGGGAUGAGCCCGCGUAGGAUUAGCUAGUUGGUGUGGUAAAGGCGCACCAAGGCGACGAUCCUUAGCUGGUCUGAGAGGAUGAUCAGCCACACUGGGACUGAGGCACGGCCCGGACUCCUACGGGAGGCAGCAGUGGGGAAUAUUGGACAAUGGGCGAAAGCCUGAUCCAGCAAUGCCGCGUGAGUGAUGAAGGCCCUAGGGUUGUAAAGCUCUUUUACCCGGGAUGAUAAUGACAGUACCGGGAGAAUAAGCCCCGGCUAACUCCGUGCCAGCCGCCGCCGUAA
This 450-nucleotide ribosomal RNA is filed under the name uncultured bacterium. RNAcentral describes it as "partial 16S ribosomal RNA". It matches the Rfam family "Bacterial small subunit ribosomal RNA", at positions 29 to 523 of the family's 1533-position model. The record is from RNAcentral.